RNAcentral lists this ribosomal RNA (425 nucleotides) under uncultured bacterium. RNAcentral's name for it is "partial 16S ribosomal RNA". It matches the Rfam family "Bacterial small subunit ribosomal RNA", at positions 354 to 796 of the family's 1533-position model. The record is from RNAcentral.
GUGGGGAAUAUUGGACAAUGGGCGCAAGCCUGAUCCAGCCAUGCCGCGUGAGUGAUGAAGGCCUUAGGGUUGUAAAGCUCUUUUGUCCGGGAAGAUAAUGACUGUACCGGAAGAAUAAGCCCCGGCUAACUUCGUGCCAGCAGCCGCGGUAAUACGAAGGGGGCUAGCGUUGUUCGGAAUCACUGGGCGUAAAGCGCACGUAGGCGGACCAUUAAGUCAGGGGUGAAAGCCUGGAGCUCAACUCCAGAACUGCCUUUGAUACUGAUGGUCUCGAGUAUGGAAGAGGUUGGUGGAACUGCGAGUGUAGAGGUGAAAUUCGUAGAUAUUCGCAAGAACACCGGUGGCGAAGGCGGCCAACUGGUCCAUUACUGACGCUGAGGUGUGAAAGCGUGGGGAGCAAACAGGAUUAGAUACCCGAGUAGUCC